UUGCAGUUAAAAAGCUCGUAGUUGGAUUUCGGAGUGGGCAAGUUGGUCCGCCGCAAGGUGUGUUACUGACUUGUUUGCUCUUCUUCGCAAAGACUGCGUGUGCUCUUCGUUGAGUGUGCGUAGGAUUUACGACGUUUACUUUGAAAAAAUUAGAGUGUUCAAAGCAGGCUAUUGCUUGAAUACAUGAGCAUGGAAUAAUGGAAUAGGACUUUGGUCAUAUUUUGUUGGUUUCUAGGACCGAAGUAAUGAUUAAGAGGGACAAUUGGGGGCAUCCGUAUUUCGUUGUCAGAGGUGAAAUUCUUGGAUUUACGAAAGACGAACAACUGCGAAAGCACUUGCCAAGAGUGUUCUCAUUAAUC
This 359-nucleotide ribosomal RNA is filed under the name uncultured marine eukaryote. RNAcentral describes it as "SSU rRNA". It matches the Rfam family "Eukaryotic small subunit ribosomal RNA", at positions 613 to 978 of the family's 1831-position model. The record is from RNAcentral.